Molecule: ribosomal RNA, 421 nt
Filed under: Fusobacteriota bacterium
Lineage: Bacteria; Fusobacteriati; Fusobacteriota
Description: Fusobacteria bacterium partial 16S ribosomal RNA
Rfam family: Bacterial small subunit ribosomal RNA
Source: RNAcentral
UGGGGAAUAUUGCACAAUGGACGGAAGUUUGAUGCAGCGACGCCGCGUGGAGGGUGUAGGCCUUCGGGUUGUGAACUCCUUUUUCUCGCGAAAAAGGCACAGUUUUGGCUGUGUUGAUGGUAGUGGGGGAAGAAGCGCCGGCUAACUACGUGCCAGCAGCCGCGGUAAUACGUAGGGCGCGAGCGUUGUCCGGAUUUAUUUGGCGUAAAGAGCUCGUAGGUGGUUCGUCGCGUCUGUCGUGAAAGCCAGCAGAUUAACUGUUGGUCUGCGGUGGGUACGGGCGGGGUUGAGUGCGGUAGGGGUGACUGGAAUUCCUGGUGUAGCGUUGGAAUGCGCAGAUAUCAGGAGGAACACCGAUGGCGAAGGCAGGUCACUGGGCCGUUACUGACACUGAGGAGCGAAAGCGUGGGGAGCGAACAGG